Molecule: long non-coding RNA, 77 nt
Organism: Aricia agestis (brown argus)
Lineage: Eukaryota; Metazoa; Arthropoda; Insecta; Lepidoptera; Lycaenidae
Exons: 3
Source: RefSeq, a predicted model, not a curated record
GCGGCUUUAAAAUUGUUCAGAUGUAUGCAGCCCCCGUCGUUCAUUCUUGCGAUUGCUAAUAGUGCACCAGUAGGUAU